This 472-nucleotide ribosomal RNA is filed under the name uncultured Magnetococcus sp. Its description in RNAcentral is "bacterial SSU rRNA". It matches the Rfam family "Bacterial small subunit ribosomal RNA", at positions 79 to 587 of the family's 1533-position model. The record is from RNAcentral. Lineage: Bacteria; Pseudomonadati; Pseudomonadota; Magnetococcia; Magnetococcales; Magnetococcaceae.
UUCGGGCGCCGGCGAGUGGCGAACGGGUGAGUAACACGUGGAGACCUAUCCUUUGGUGGGGGACAACAGCUGGAAACGGCUGCUAAUACCGCAUACGCCCCAAGGGGGAAAGAUUUAUUGCCGAAGGAGGGUUCCGCGUCGGAUUAGCUAGUUGGUGGGGUAACGGCCUACCAAGGCGACGAUCCGUAGCUGGUCUUAGAGGAUGAUCAGCCACACUGGGACUGAGACACGGCCCAGACUCCUACGGGAGGCAGCAGUGGGGAAUAUUGCGCAAUGGGGGAAACCCUGACGCAGCGAUGCCGCGUGGGUGAAGAAGGCCUUAGGGUUGUAAAGCCCUUUCAGUGGGAACGAUAGUGACGGUACCCACAGAAGAAGCCCCGGCUAACUCCGUGCCAGCAGCCGCGGUAAUACGGAGGGGGCGAGCGUUGUUCGGAAUUAUUGGGCGUAAAGCGCGCGUAGGCGGUUUAUCAAG